Molecule: ribosomal RNA, 1230 nt
Filed under: Triticum aestivum (bread wheat)
Lineage: Eukaryota; Viridiplantae; Streptophyta; Magnoliopsida; Poales; Poaceae
Description: partial small subunit ribosomal RNA
Source: RNAcentral
AUGCCUUCCUCCUCCGCCGCCGACUCAGGCCACGGCGUCGCCACUGCCACCGCGCCGUCGAGGGACACGGCCGUCGAGGGCUUCGUCUCGUCCCUGCGCACCCAGGACGAGGUCGACGUGCUCUGCCAGAAGCACGGCGUACCCAAGGAUCAGUACACCGCGCGCCCCGCCGGCGACCUGCGCGCGAACUCUACGCCGCCGCCGGGGUCCAUCUGCGUGUAUGCUCGCGCGCUGGAGGCCGGGCUGCGCUUCCCGCUGCACGGCUUCUUCCGCGAGGCGCUCGCCCACUUCGGCAUCGCGCCGGCCCAGCUCACGCCCAACGGGUGGCGCGUCAUGGAGGGGUUCGUGGCGCUCUGCCGCUCCGCCGGCGUGCGCCCGUCGCUCGCCGUGUUCCUGCGCUUCUUCUACCUGUCCGCCAUCGACCGGAAGCGCAAGAAAGGGUGGUACUGUCUCGGACCCAUGCGCGACAGCUCCAGCUUGCGCUUCACGGGGAUGCCGGGCCGGGGGUCCAAAGCCAUCAUGGGCUGGAGACACGACUUCUUCUUCCUCUCGUCGCCGGAGCCGUGGCACUGCGCCGUGGAGUGGGGCGCGCCGUCCAAGGGCUCCUUCAGAAAGCCGGCGCUCACCGUUGAGGAAAACGAAUCGAUGGUGAAGCUGCUGAGUGCUCACGGUGGCGUCGCUGUUGAUCUUAGGAACCUGCUCCCUGCUACGUGCCCGCGGCUCCGGCGCCGCCGCCGUCUCUGGAACAGCAACCCCGCCGUCUCUGCCGCCGUGAUAACCACAGCAUCCCCGCCGCCGCCUUCUUCUUCAACUCGUACUACUUCCUGUUCCAAAGGCAUGGAUCCAUCUGUCUAUGAAAUGAUGAAGGUUCUGCUGGCGGAGAGGGCGGUCGCGCAAGCGUCGGCGUCGGCGAAGAAGAGGACUUGGGAGGAAGCCAACGGCGGGGAGAACGACGGACACUCACCGCCUCUUUCGGUGCUGUCCAGCGUGCACUCGCCACCGCCACAGCACUUCCUCAGCAGGCAUGACGGAUACACGGAGCUGCUGCAGGGAGCCGUCGCGCAGCAGCUGGAGCUGGAAGGGAAGCUGGUGGCCAGGGAGCGCGAGGCCGCGGCGCUGCGGGAGCUGUUGGAGGAGGCGAAGAAUGAGCUCGCCGCGGCAAAGAGAGCGCGGACGCGGAGCGGGAGAAGGCCAAAGCCGAGCUCGCGGCGGUGGAGGGGGAGGUGGUGA